AGACGGAGGGCUCUAACGUUGUUCGGAAUCACUGGGCAUAAAGAGCACGUAGGCUGCCCGCUCAGUCAUAUGUGAAAGCCCCCGGCUCAACCGGGGAAUUGCAUGUGAUACUAGCGGGCUCGAGGACGGCAGGGGUAAGUGGAACUCCAGGUGGAACGGUGAAAUGUGUAGAUAUCUGGAGGAACACCGGUGGCGAAAGCGGCUUACUGGGCCGUCUCUGACGCUGAGGUGCGAAAGCUAGGGUAGCGAACGGGAUUAGAAACCCGGGUAGUCC
This 274-nucleotide ribosomal RNA is filed under the name uncultured bacterium. RNAcentral describes it as "partial 16S ribosomal RNA". It matches the Rfam family "Bacterial small subunit ribosomal RNA", at positions 523 to 796 of the family's 1533-position model. The record is from RNAcentral.